This 500-nucleotide ribosomal RNA is filed under the name uncultured bacterium. Its description in RNAcentral is "partial 16S ribosomal RNA". It matches the Rfam family "Bacterial small subunit ribosomal RNA", at positions 29 to 523 of the family's 1533-position model. The record is from RNAcentral.
AUUGAACGCUGGCGGCAUGCCUUACACAUGCAAGUCGAACGGCAGCACGGGAGCAAUCCUGGCGGCGAGUGGCGAACGGGUGAGUAAUACAUCGGAACGUACCUGGUAGUGGGGGAUAGCCCGGCGAAAGCCGGAUUAAUACCGCAUACGACCUGAGGGUGAAAGCGGGGGAUCGCAAGACCUCGCGCUAUUGGAGCGGCCGAUGGCAGAUUAGGUAGUUGGUGGGGUAAAGGCCUACCAAGCCUGCGAUCUGUAGCUGGUUUGAGAGGACGACCAGCCACACUGGGACUGAGACACGGCCCAGACUCCUACGGGAGGCAGCAGUGGGGAAUUUUGGACAAUGGGCGCAAGCCUGAUCCAGCCAUGCCGCGUGCGGGAAGAAGGCCUUCGGGUUGUAAACCGCUUUUGUCGGGGAAGAAACGGUGGAGGUUAAUACCUUCUGCUAAUGACGGUACCCGAAGAAUAAGCACCGGCUAACUACGUGCCAGCAGCCGCCGUAA